AUGCAGUGCGGCUGCGUCGGCCUCCUGCUGGCUCUGCAUGCUCUUCAGCUUCCUCCGCAGCUCAUCUUCCUCGCCGUGGGCAGAAUCAUUGUUGCUCACCUGCUCAGGUUCCAUGGAAUGGACCUUCUGGAUCUCCACGGUCCUGCUCUGCACAUCGAGCGCCUCCUUGAGCUUCGCAUUGGCCUCAUCGGCCACCUUCUUGGCGCACUCCAGUUCCUCCAGAACCUUGCCCUUCUCUUCUUCCUUCUCCACCAGCUGACCCAUGGCCUUCUUGAGCGCCUCUUGGACGGCAUCAAGCUGCGCCCGCAGCUCCUGGGACGGCUUGGCGGCCUGCGGCUCGGGAGAUGGCUUCCCAGCCUUCCCCUGCUUCUGCAAGCCAAUCAAACGACUAAGAUUCCACUAAAGCUAAAGCAGGAAGCAUGCUUUGUGCAUCACAAGCAGAGGAGGAAUCGUGCGUACCUCUGCAGGAGGAGGGGUGGUGGCGGUGAUCCGGGUUGGGGUGGCGCCCUUGGGCGACUUGCGGUCGGCGGACCUGGGGGACUUGUCGGCCGUGCGCGGCGCGCUCGGCGGCGUGCCAUGGGCGGCAUUCGCCUUGGGGACGGCCGGCUUCCGCGGCCUGUCGCCCUUGGGUGUCGGCGGCGUCUCGCCCCUGGGUGUCGGUGGCGUGCCCUUGCCGUUGCUCCUGGCCUCCGGCUUGGCGCUCGGCUUGCUGCCGACCUUCCCCUCCGGCUUGCCGUCGCCCUUGGCGUCGGCCAGGCCAGAUCUGCUCACCAGAAAAGGCAAAAAACUACCGUCAGAUCAAGAACUCGGCAGCUCCAUCCCCAACCACCAAGAUCCGAGCCAGAUCUAUGCUAUGCUCCAGGAAACCAAGCAAGCAUGCUACCAAGAACCAUCCAGCCCGUGCCGACCCAUCACUCCAAAAUAGAAACAGUGAUAAAAGAAUCGUAG
This 948-nucleotide ribosomal RNA is filed under the name Triticum aestivum (bread wheat). RNAcentral describes it as "partial small subunit ribosomal RNA". The record is from RNAcentral. Lineage: Eukaryota; Viridiplantae; Streptophyta; Magnoliopsida; Poales; Poaceae.